This 620-nucleotide ribosomal RNA is filed under the name uncultured bacterium. RNAcentral describes it as "bacterial SSU rRNA". It matches the Rfam family "Bacterial small subunit ribosomal RNA", at positions 338 to 946 of the family's 1533-position model. The record is from RNAcentral.
CCUACGGGAGGCAGCAGUGGGGAAUUUUGGACAAUGGGGGCAACCCUGAUCCAGCCAUUCCGCGUGAGUGAAGAAGGCCUUCGGGUUGUAAAGCUCUUUUGUCGGGGACGAAACGGUUACGAUUAAUACUCGUGACAACUGACGGUACCCGAAGAAUAAGCACCGGCUAACUACGUGCCAGCAGCCGCGGUAAUACGUAGGGUGCGAGCGUUAAUCGGAAUUACUGGGCGUAAAGCGUGCGCAGGCGGUUUUGUAAGCCAGAUGUGAAAUCCCCGGGCUUAACCUGGGAAUGGCAUUUGGGACUGCAAGGCUAGAGUAUGGCAGAGGAGACUAGAAUUUCUGGUGUAGCAGUGAAAUGCGUAGAUAUCAGAAGGAAUACCGAUGGCGAAGGCAGGUCUCUGGGUCAAUACUGACGCUCAUGCACGAAAGCGUGGGGAGCAAACAGGAUUAGAUACCCUGGUAGUCCACGCCCUAAACGAUGUCAACUGGUUGUUGGGAGAUUUAUUCUCUUAGUAACGAAGCUAACGCGUGAAGUUGACCGCCUGGGGAGUACGGUCGCAAGUAAUUAAAACUCAAAUUGUAGUUAGAGNGNGAGAGNGCGAGACGACGACGAGGAGAGG